GGGCCGGCUUUAGCUCAGCGGUUACUUCGCGACUUCAAUUUAUUGAAAACCCAGCCCCUCCGGGGGUUCGAGACCCGCGGGCGCUGCUCGGCCUUUUG
This is a vault RNA of Chelydra serpentina (North American snapping turtle), 98 nucleotides long. Its record names the gene Vault. It matches the Rfam family "Vault RNA". From Rfam's summary of the family: This family of RNAs are found as part of the enigmatic vault ribonucleoprotein complex. The complex consists of a major vault protein (MVP), two minor vault proteins (VPARP and TEP1), and several small untranslated RNA molecules. It has been suggested that the vault complex is involved in drug resistance. NCBI's taxonomy places the organism in Eukaryota, Metazoa, Chordata, Testudines, Chelydridae. The record is from Ensembl.